This 200-nucleotide ribosomal RNA is filed under the name uncultured eukaryote. RNAcentral's name for it is "partial 18S ribosomal RNA". It matches the Rfam family "Eukaryotic small subunit ribosomal RNA", at positions 588 to 796 of the family's 1831-position model. The record is from RNAcentral.
GCUCUAAUAGCGUAUAUUAAUGUUGUUGCAGUUAAAAAGCUCGUAGUUGGAUUUUGGAGUUUGACAGACGGUCUGCCUACGGGUGUGUACUAUCUGUUGGCUCUUCUUUUCUGGGAACCUCACUGCUCUUCACUGAGGGGUGUUGGAACGCAGAUCGUUUACUUUGAAAAAAUUAGAGUGUUCAAGCAGGCCAUCGCAUU